UACACGACUACAUCAAACAAACAAAAAUGCCCUUGAAAAGGUGAUCCAGGUUUAACAUGGGCCACAAGAAGGGAAGGUGCUGUUAUCUCAGUCAGUGAGAUAUGGGACGUGGCAGGUAGCAGAAGGCUCCAGGACCAGUCCCCAGCCUGACGCCACCAAGAGCAAACGAGGUCUGCAUGGCAGAACCCCACGCUUCCCAAAUCUCAGAAAGCAAGAGGGGACAUGAGACAAGGCCGAUAGCACAGCCCGAGCACCAGCACAAGAGCCAUGUACAGAGCUCCCUGAGAACCUAGCCUGCCCAUAACACAUUAUUAUCUAUGCCUUUCCAGCCAUACAAUGGAUAGACAACUACAUGACAACUCUACACUGUCUCCAGAGGUUUCUGUGUACACCAGUAGAGAGACAGAGCUCUAACAAGGAGGAUGGCAGUGCAUGGGGUUGUCCUAAUUGAGUGCUAAUGGGUCCCAACCGGGAGGCAGUCUCAGCUGGGUGCCAAUUGCUCUAAUUGAUAAGAAGCCCUGAUUGGGUCCUUGGAGGGUGCUGGUUCCUCACUGAACUUACUAAAGGGAGGCUGGAGAACGAGACAGCUGUUGCCUGAAAAGGAAGAGUUUUAGUUAUGGUUUUUCUGCUGCAAUGCAAGUAGAAGGAUUUUUAAAAGUACACAUGACAGAGCUGGGAAUGGGGACGUAGUGGAUCAAAUGAAGUUGCUUUGAAGAAAUAUUUUCACUGUGGAAGGAAGCUGUGCAUUGCAGGGUAAAAAUGAAAGUUUCUGGAAGAUAAGCUUGGAGCUUUUUCUGCUGUUCUGCAGAAUGCACAGAACUCCUAGCAGAGCCAACAAGUACUUGAAGACUUUUCACUUCUCCUGUUUGUAUGAAGUGUGGCUUUUGGAGACGUGGAACUGGAAGAGUCUCAGAUAGAACCUCCUGCCUGGAGAACUCACGCAUCCUCGACAAAAAUGAACCAGGAGGAGAUGGCUUAUCCCCAAUGCAGGUUUUCUGGACCAGUGCUGAACUGAAGAUACUGGGAUAUAAAUUAAACCCUCACAUUACAAGAAAAUAUUAAAACUGGGAAGAAAUUGCCACGUAAAAUUAGUAGUUUUCGCUUCCCUUGCAUUAGAAGCAGUAACUUGGAUGCAAUUGGCUUCUACCUAACGCCCAACCAUUUCAUGUGGUCACCGCUCCAAAAAGAAGCAGUGAGGCUCCCGAACUGACCGGAGGUGCCGGGUAAAAACACAGAGGUAACGCAACCAGCAACACCAGCCGUAACCACAACACAGCAAAUAUAAGCACUUGGUUUCCUCUCGUGGAUUUGAACAGGAGGUGCAAGCACAACAAAGAAGGGGUAGGGAAGGGACACAAAGGUAUCAGCGUGGGACAGACCAGCUUCUGGUGACAUCACCUGAGCCCCAAGGGUGCCCACAGAACCAUUGUUUGCAGUGUCUCUGGUUUGCAUAUAAUUGAUGGUUCCUCCGAGGUUCUGCCUCCCCCUCCUCCGCAGGAUGCCCUCCUCUAUGUUAGUUUAUUUUUUAAAUAAUUAACAGACUUUGUGCCUGCCUGUCUAUGCGUCCCCUUGGAAUUCCUCUCCAGCUGCUCUCAUCCAUCCCCACAGCUCCUCCCUCUCCUCUGCAGUGCUCCUUUCCUCUCACUGCAUCUUAAAGCGCUGGCUUUUGUUUUGACUUCACUGCGCAACAAAAUCUCUGGGCUCUUUUUUUUGAACAGGAUUCCUUAUUGCUGCUUGCUGGUGUCUGUAAUCCUCUUCUUCUAGCAGCUGCCACUCCUAGCAAAGAUUUUGGUCUGAAUAAUUCUUGUGGGUGGGUAUAUCAUGUUCGAGGCUUCAGCUGUUCUUGAUGGUGAGGACAAGAGCCUGCUC
Molecule: long non-coding RNA, 1869 nt
Filed under: Numida meleagris (helmeted guineafowl)
Lineage: Eukaryota; Metazoa; Chordata; Aves; Galliformes; Numididae
Description: lncRNA (ENSNMEG00000023094.1)
Source: RNAcentral